GAACCCCUGCUAUACACGUGAUAGAUUUGAAGGUUUUGAGCCAACAGUAAAAAAAAAGGGAGUCUGACUUUGAUCGUGGAAAGCGGGCCCUUCAGAUGAAAGGGAGUCUUGAAGCGUUCAAGAGGACACCCACCUGGUAAUCCAGGUUCAAACUCUCAAUCUACACGGUAGAAGCGGGGGGACA
RNAcentral lists this non-coding RNA (184 nucleotides) under Pseudomonadota bacterium. RNAcentral's name for it is "Proteobacteria bacterium (hot springs metagenome) 6S RNA". It matches the Rfam family "6S / SsrS RNA". Rfam says of the family: E. coli 6S RNA was the first non coding RNA to be sequenced, but its function was unknown until recently. It consists of 184 nucleotides that fold into an extended hairpin structure with a large single-stranded internal bulge. Lineage: Bacteria; Pseudomonadati; Pseudomonadota. The record is from RNAcentral.